GGGGUUAUUUAUUAAAGGUGUGUUCCUUUGGUUGCCUUAGAGCUCGUCUUGGACGCUUAAAGGGGGCAGAGGUUAGUAGAGGGGGGAGAGCGGGUAAGAAGAGGCUUAGGCGGAGGAGGGGUAGGUUAGACGGCAAGGUGGUUUGGUUAGGAGCGGCGUCAAGCAGCAGCGGCUGCCGCCGCCGCGCGUCGGUCCGCUGCUGACGGCCACGGCGCCGCCCGCACCUAUCCAAGGAGGGAGGAGGAGGGGCAGAAGAAGAGAGCCCAAACAGAAGAAGUCGCGCGUCACGACUAGAGUCAACUUCGGAGUCCGCGCCGCGUCGAACAGAAGGGCUUUUUUACCGCCGCCCUUCCGACAAAGGUACUGAGGGAGCGAACCGCCCUGAUCCUCCCCAACCCACCUAACCUGCACUAGCCCUAACGCUCCGGUAUAGUCAAGAAUACCUAGUCGACCGAGACGAGCGCUGCCUCAAGCCUCUAAGCAGGCUGAAGCUCCAGCUGCCGUAGUUGCUCUUGCUACAGUCGCUGCUCCUCUAACUCGGCCUCCUCGACCGGGCCGCUUACACCUUCCUGUCCCAGUCCGAGUCCUCCUAGUUCCUCUCCGUCGUCUCCGAUCGGAACGUCGUCCGACUUGACCUCGACCUCUUCAGGUUCGGGUUCGUCUAUAGGCUGGUCCGGUACGCGUUCUUCUACCGGUCCCGCGUGCUGCCCUAGGAGUUCAUGUACGAGUUCGACUACCUCCACACGUUACGGGCACCCAAACAGAUACCCUAGUAGGGACUCUUUCCCUUCGGACACUCACCACGCAGCCUAUUAUAAUCUCGAACCACCUUCCUCUUCCAAUUCAAACUAUUCUUACCAGGCCGUCGCUAACGUUUCAUGCUCCGGCUCGUGAACCACCUACGACUACGAGUCUCAUCGCAACAGUUCUUGCUCGUGUCGAACUACCUAGAGGUUCUGCGGUGAGACCCGAGUGACGAAAGUAGUAACUACGUCGUGACAUUAGGUGGCGUCGCGUUCAUGGGGGACCUCUUCCCGUGAGGCGGGGGUACCACCGGACGCCCCUUACUUCUCACCACCCGACGGAACCCGGAAGGUUCCCCUGUCUAACGAGGAAUGUUUUUUGGAGUACUGGAAUUCUUCCAAACCUUCCAGCCCCACGAAUGUACACAAUAAUUCGUGUACAGGGGAUUGAAACUAUUCUAGUCUUUGGUACAAGCGUUUAGGUUUUAGAACGUCCUAUUUUACUGACGUUUCCUCUCGGACUAAACCAACCCUCAGGAUGUCUCUCUCCUUUCUGAACACGUGCCAUAACUGUUACCGCAGAGUCUCUAAUGAGUGGCGUCACGAGGUCUUCUGUCUUUACCUUGAUCCUUGCGUGUGUCGUCGUCAUUACUCAUACUACAACUACCAAAACUCCUCCGAGGAGAAAGUUAUAGUAGAUUUCUACUACUCGUUCCAGAAAGAGGUCGACGUGUUAGGUCGCUCCUCGUACAGAGGUCUUCUCUGUCUCUUUCCCGCUUGUGAUUUGUAGAAAUAGUCCGACAACAAGAAUUCCUUCCUUGUUUUUUUGUUGGUGGUUUCUCUUUUUCUCGUGCAGUGUCAAGGCAACGACAACUCGUCCUCCAUGUUUCCUGACUACUACGUGGUCUUUUAGGUCCUUUAGACUAAGGGCUAUACUUGGCUGACCUGGUUCAUCUCUAAGGUCCGUACCGAUUGGUGGUCUAAUGUUCGAAGUUAGUCUACCGGCAAUGUUCACUUCGAAAUGUUGUGUCUCCUUUACGAGUUCCCGUACAAAUAGAAGGACCCAGACCCCAAUUACCGAAACUAUUACGGGUUGGACACCUACGAUGAGGACAUUCGUAUAUAGUCGGACAUGAAAUACCUUCAUCACUAUUACGGUCCAGUUUCAGACCUUCGGGGAAAGGUGACGUACGGUUAAGACCAAAAUUAUCAAAAGGGUCAUUGAUAGUCUGAAAUGGAGGCUUUGUUAGUCACGGUAAUGGAUACUACCUAGUAGUACACCAAGGGUACCCAUAGUCCCGUGGUCGACUGUUGUCAGGAAUACCACUAGUACACUAACCACCACCUUCAAGUUGAAGACAGGGACCUCUAUACGUUGUGGAGCAUCUAAAAGGUAAGAUGCCACUCGUUCUAUUCAAACAACCGUCAAGAAAACUCCCCAAUGGAAACCUGAUAUAGUCAUACUCGUCGGGCUAGGGUCUAUAACUACUAAACGACGACGUACUACUACUAAAUUACCUUAUGGACCCUUGUAUUGUAUCCAAUCCUUCCCGAGAAUACGAAAGACAAACCAGUAGGUAAAACACAGUGGUCCUAAUGGUCUAAUUGAACUCAUACCUUCUGAUUUGAAGAGUAAGACUACGACAACUAUGGUAGACAUCGUACGAGUUACUAUGAACUGAAUGUAAGAAAACUUUUUAUAACAGUUCCUACUGGCCUAACAUUUGGCCUUUCCACAUGUACGGAUGUCCCAAAUUCAAACCUCAUUAAUUAAAAGGGCCCCUUCUAUAUAUCACUUCCUAUCAAGAAACAUUAAAGCUUAGAAACUUUAUACUUACGGUACGAGAGGACGUACAAGAGUGGGGGAAGGGAAAACGAAAGAUGUCUUUGUAACUCAUAAGUUGUAACAUCUAUGUUAGUUCUUAUUUUAUAAGUAGCCGACU
Molecule: ribosomal RNA, 2686 nt
Filed under: Triticum aestivum (bread wheat)
Lineage: Eukaryota; Viridiplantae; Streptophyta; Magnoliopsida; Poales; Poaceae
Description: partial small subunit ribosomal RNA
Source: RNAcentral